GCUCACUUGGGCAUAUACUCAAAUUAGAAUGAUGCAGAGGUGAUUAGUAUGACCCUGCACAAGGAUGACAUGCAAAUUUGUGAAGUGUUCCAUAUUUUU
Molecule: small nuclear RNA, 99 nt
Filed under: Moschus moschiferus (Siberian musk deer)
Lineage: Eukaryota; Metazoa; Chordata; Mammalia; Artiodactyla; Moschidae
Source: RNAcentral